GGGGGGUAACUCGAGUUGCCUAAAACCCGUAUAUUUUGUAGAAACAUAGCCGCCGACGACCGACUAAUUUAUUUCAAUGUAUUCAAACAAAUUAUAAUUAUAAACUAUUGAUGAGUAUAAUUUGGUAUGAAGUAACGCGCAAGCUUGGUGCUGUUUAAUACGUUUUGCAAUAAUAAUGACAGUGUCCGUCUUUCCGACCUCACUGUUUAACAGGACUAUUUUCCA
This 225-nucleotide long non-coding RNA is filed under the name Mytilus galloprovincialis (Mediterranean mussel). The record is from RNAcentral. Lineage: Eukaryota; Metazoa; Mollusca; Bivalvia; Mytilida; Mytilidae.